AGUAAAGUCGUAACAAGGUUUCGCCACAAGAGAUCCUUCUUUGAAGCCUCUCACGGCGACUAUAAUCAUACGUGCAGUCUAGAGAUAGGCGACGUCACCCCUGUGCUGGAACGCUGCUACAACGGUGGCGGAUCAGCAGCCAGGCUUCCCUGGUCCACAGAUUAGGUGGUGGCGGUCCCCGGGCACCCCGCCGUGGGAUCAAGAUAUAAUCGGUCUCCAUCACCCGAGUGGGAUGGUUGAGAAACGUUCCGUAGGUGAACCUGCGGAAGGAUCAUUAUCGAGUUAGGGUCUUCGGGGCCCCAUCUCCAACUCUUGCCUAUCUUACCAUGUUGCUUUGGCGGGCCCGUCUUUCACCGGACCGUCGGGGGCUUCGGCCCCUGACCCGUGCCCGCCAAUAGCCCCCACAAAUACCUUGAACAGUGAUGUCUAAGCCUUCAAGUAAUUAAAAAAAACUUUCAACAACGGAUCUCUUGGUUCUGGCAUCGAUGAAGAACGCAGCGAAAUGCGAUAAGUAAUGCGAAUUGCAGAAUUCCGUGAGUCAUCGAAUCUUUGAACGCACAUUGCGCCCUUUGGUAUUCCGAAGGGCAUGCCUGUUCGAGCGUCAUUAUCGACCCUCAAGCCCGGCUUGCUGUUGGGUCCCACCGUUGACGAGACAUGGUGGACCCGAAAGAUAAUGGCAGAGCCCGUAGGGCCCCCGGAUGCAACGAGCUGUAUAGCACGCGUCUGGGCGGUCUUCUCGGCUCGGUCUUAACCAAUCUAUUUCUCAGAUUGACCUCGGAUCAGGUAGGGAUACCCGCUGAACUUAAC
RNAcentral lists this ribosomal RNA (807 nucleotides) under Agonimia allobata. Its description in RNAcentral is "eukaryotic LSU rRNA". The stretch from base 451 to 604 matches the Rfam family "5.8S ribosomal RNA". Lineage: Eukaryota; Fungi; Ascomycota; Eurotiomycetes; Verrucariales; Verrucariaceae. The record is from RNAcentral.